This 2903-nucleotide ribosomal RNA is filed under the name Escherichia coli. RNAcentral describes it as "23S ribosomal RNA". It matches the Rfam family "Bacterial large subunit ribosomal RNA". Lineage: Bacteria; Pseudomonadati; Pseudomonadota; Gammaproteobacteria; Enterobacterales; Enterobacteriaceae. The record is from RNAcentral.
GGUUAAGCGACUAAGCGUACACGGUGGAUGCCCUGGCAGUCAGAGGCGAUGAAGGACGUGCUAAUCUGCGAUAAGCGUCGGUAAGGUGAUAUGAACCGUUAUAACCGGCGAUUUCCGAAUGGGGAAACCCAGUGUGUUUCGACACACUAUCAUUAACUGAAUCCAUAGGUUAAUGAGGCGAACCGGGGGAACUGAAACAUCUAAGUACCCCGAGGAAAAGAAAUCAACCGAGAUUCCCCCAGUAGCGGCGAGCGAACGGGGAGCAGCCCAGAGCCUGAAUCAGUGUGUGUGUUAGUGGAAGCGUCUGGAAAGGCGCGCGAUACAGGGUGACAGCCCCGUACACAAAAAUGCACAUGCUGUGAGCUCGAUGAGUAGGGCGGGACACGUGGUAUCCUGUCUGAAUAUGGGGGGACCAUCCUCCAAGGCUAAAUACUCCUGACUGACCGAUAGUGAACCAGUACCGUGAGGGAAAGGCGAAAAGAACCCCGGCGAGGGGAGUGAAAAAGAACCUGAAACCGUGUACGUACAAGCAGUGGGAGCACGCUUCGGCGUGUGACUGCGUACCUUUUGUAUAAUGGGUCAGCGACUUAUAUUCUGUAGCAAGGUUAACCGAAUAGGGGAGCCGAAGGGAAACCGAGUCUUAACUGGGCGUUAAGUUGCAGGGUAUAGACCCGAAACCCGGUGAUCUAGCCAUGGGCAGGUUGAAGGUUGGGUAACACUAACUGGAGGACCGAACCGACUAAUGUUGAAAAAUUAGCGGAUGACUUGUGGCUGGGGGUGAAAGGCCAAUCAAACCGGGAGAUAGCUGGUUCUCCCCGAAAGCUAUUUAGGUAGCGCCUCGUGAAUUCAUCUCCGGGGGUAGAGCACUGUUUCGGCAAGGGGGUCAUCCCGACUUACCAACCCGAUGCAAACUGCGAAUACCGGAGAAUGUUAUCACGGGAGACACACGGCGGGUGCUAACGUCCGUCGUGAAGAGGGAAACAACCCAGACCGCCAGCUAAGGUCCCAAAGUCAUGGUUAAGUGGGAAACGAUGUGGGAAGGCCCAGACAGCCAGGAUGUUGGCUUAGAAGCAGCCAUCAUUUAAAGAAAGCGUAAUAGCUCACUGGUCGAGUCGGCCUGCGCGGAAGAUGUAACGGGGCUAAACCAUGCACCGAAGCUGCGGCAGCGACGCUGAUGCGUUGUUGGGUAGGGGAGCGUUCUGUAAGCCUGUGAAGGUGUGCUGUGAGGCAUGCUGGAGGUAUCAGAAGUGCGAAUGCUGACAUAAGUAACGAUAAAGCGGGUGAAAAGCCCGCUCGCCGGAAGACCAAGGGUUCCUGUCCAACGUUAAUCGGGGCAGGGUGAGUCGACCCCUAAGGCGAGGCCGAAAGGCGUAGUCGAUGGGAAACAGGUUAAUAUUCCUGUACUUGGUGUUACUGCGAAGGGGGACGGAGAAGGCUAUGUUGGCCGGGCGACGGUUGUCCCGGUUUAAGCGUGUAGGCUGGUUUUCCAGGCAAAUCCGGAAAAUCAAGGCUGAGGCGUGAUGACGAGGCACUACGGUGCUGAAGCAACAAAUGCCCUGCUUCCAGGAAAAGCCUCUAAGCAUCAGGUAACAUCAAAUCGUACCCCAAACCGACACAGGUGGUCAGGUAGAGAAUACCAAGGCGCUUGAGAGAACUCGGGUGAAGGAACUAGGCAAAAUGGUGCCGUAACUUCGGGAGAAGGCACGCUGAUAUGUAGGUGAAGUCCCUCGCGGAUGGAGCUGAAAUCAGUCGAAGAUACCAGCUGGCUGCAACUGUUUAUUAAAAACACAGCACUGUGCAAACACGAAAGUGGACGUAUACGGUGUGACGCCUGCCCGGUGCCGGAAGGUUAAUUGAUGGGGUCAGCGCAAGCGAAGCUCUUGAUCGAAGCCCCGGUAAACGGCGGCCGUAACUAUAACGGUCCUAAGGUAGCGAAAUUCCUUGUCGGGUAAGUUCCGACCUGCACGAAUGGCGUAAUGAUGGCCAGGCUGUCUCCACCCGAGACUCAGUGAAAUUGAACUCGCUGUGAAGAUGCAGUGUACCCGCGGCAAGACGGAAAGACCCCGUGAACCUUUACUAUAGCUUGACACUGAACAUUGAGCCUUGAUGUGUAGGAUAGGUGGGAGGCUUUGAAGUGUGGACGCCAGUCUGCAUGGAGCCGACCUUGAAAUACCACCCUUUAAUGUUUGAUGUUCUAACGUUGACCCGUAAUCCGGGUUGCGGACAGUGUCUGGUGGGUAGUUUGACUGGGGCGGUCUCCUCCUAAAGAGUAACGGAGGAGCACGAAGGUUGGCUAAUCCUGGUCGGACAUCAGGAGGUUAGUGCAAUGGCAUAAGCCAGCUUGACUGCGAGCGUGACGGCGCGAGCAGGUGCGAAAGCAGGUCAUAGUGAUCCGGUGGUUCUGAAUGGAAGGGCCAUCGCUCAACGGAUAAAAGGUACUCCGGGGAUAACAGGCUGAUACCGCCCAAGAGUUCAUAUCGACGGCGGUGUUUGGCACCUCGAUGUCGGCUCAUCACAUCCUGGGGCUGAAGUAGGUCCCAAGGGUAUGGCUGUUCGCCAUUUAAAGUGGUACGCGAGCUGGGUUUAGAACGUCGUGAGACAGUUCGGUCCCUAUCUGCCGUGGGCGCUGGAGAACUGAGGGGGGCUGCUCCUAGUACGAGAGGACCGGAGUGGACGCAUCACUGGUGUUCGGGUUGUCAUGCCAAUGGCACUGCCCGGUAGCUAAAUGCGGAAGAGAUAAGUGCUGAAAGCAUCUAAGCACGAAACUUGCCCCGAGAUGAGUUCUCCCUGACUCCUUGAGAGUCCUGAAGGAACGUUGAAGACGACGACGUUGAUAGGCCGGGUGUGUAAGCGCAGCGAUGCGUUGAGCUAACCGGUACUAAUGAACCGUGAGGCUUAACCUU